GAACAAAAUGAGUGGUAUGAAUUGGACUGACUCGUAUAAUGACAUGAAAAAGAAAUUCUGGCCAGUAUAUAAAACCGAGUUAAUAGUGUGGCCAGCUGCACAGGUUUUAAACUUCUUCUUUGUACCUCCGGCUUUAAGAGUGACCUACAUCAGUGCAGUGUAUCUAGGAUGGGUCAUGUAUUUAUCUUAUUAUCAACACAAGAAAUCUUAAAUUAAU
Molecule: long non-coding RNA, 217 nt
Organism: Amphimedon queenslandica
Lineage: Eukaryota; Metazoa; Porifera; Demospongiae; Haplosclerida; Niphatidae
Exons: 3
Source: RefSeq, a predicted model, not a curated record